Molecule: long non-coding RNA, 955 nt
Filed under: Microcebus murinus (gray mouse lemur)
Lineage: Eukaryota; Metazoa; Chordata; Mammalia; Primates; Cheirogaleidae
Description: lncRNA (ENSMICG00000048800.1)
Source: RNAcentral
GGGUCCCUGGCCUGCCUCCUGCUGGCCCUGUGCCUGGGCAGCGGGGAGGCUGGCCCGCUGCAGGGGGGAGGAGGGGGAAGCGUGGGAACGAACGUCGGGGAGGCCAUUGGGCACGGAAUGGGAGAUGCCCUCAGCCAGGGGGUUGGGCAGGCCCUUGGCGAACAGGCCGGAGGGGCACUGGGCUCCGGAGUCAGGGAUGCUGCAGGCCACGGCGCGGCCGAUGCUCUGGGCCACAAGCUCGGGGAGGCAGCCCACACUCUUGGAAACAGCGGGAGCGAGGCUGCCAGGCAGGCCGGGAAUGCCCUUCAACACGGAGCGGAUGCCGUCCAUAGCUCCUGGCAGGGGGUGCCCGGCAGCAGUGGAGCUUGGGGGACAUCUGGAGGCCACGGCAUGGGCAACCCCGGAGGUGCAGGCGCUCCCUGGGGACAUGGGUACCCCGGAGGCCCGGCAGGCAGCUUUGGAAACAAUGUUCAAGGAGGACCCUGGGGUCAAGGAGGCAACGGCAUGUCACCAAACUUUGGGACCAAUGCUCAGGGAGCCGUGGCCCAGCCUGGUUACGACGCAAUGAGAGGCAGCGGCCCGAAUACAGGGUGCACCAACCCCCCGCCGUCCGGCUCCGGAGGAAGCUCCGGCAACUCUGGGGUAAGAGGAGAGGGGCGGCCUGGGCGUUCUGCCCGGGAGGAAGUGGCAGGAGAGGAGGGGGAGGAGGGAAGAAGUCCUGGAGCUCCUGUCUUUGACCCUGGCUCUGGUCCCUCCCUGCCUCUCAGGGAAGCGGCAGCUCACAGUCAGGCAGCAACAGUGGCAGCAGCGGCAACAGUGGCAACAGUGGCAGUGGUGGCAGCAGCAACAGUGGCAACAGUGGCAGUGGCAGUUCUGGGGGCAACUGGGUGAGUUCUGCGCCUCCAGUGCAGGGAGAGACGGGCCGAGGCCCCUGGUGGUCCCCGCCGAGGAGAUG